Molecule: ribosomal RNA, 450 nt
Filed under: uncultured bacterium
Lineage: Bacteria
Description: partial 16S ribosomal RNA
Rfam family: Bacterial small subunit ribosomal RNA
Source: RNAcentral
GUGGGGAAUUUUGGACAAUGGGCGAAAGCCUGAUCCAGCCAUGCCGCGUGCAGGAUGAAGGCCUUCGGGUUGUAAACUGCUUUUGUACGGAACGAAAAGACUCUGGUUAAUACCUGGGGUCCAUGACGGUACCGUAAGAAUAAGCACCGGCUAACUACGUGCCAGCAGCCGCGGUAAUACGUAGGGUGCGAGCGUUAAUCGGAAUUACUGGGCGUAAAGCGUGCGCAGGCGGUUAUAUAAGACAGAUGUGAAGUCCCCGGGCUCAACCUGGGAACUGCAUUUGUGACUGUAUAGCUAGAGUACGGCAGAGGGGGAUGGAAUUCCGCGUGUAGCAGUGAAAUGCGUAGAUAUGCGGAGGAACACCGAUGGCGAAGGCAAUCCCCUGGGCCUGUACUGACGCUCAUGCACGAAAGCGUGGGGAGCAAACAGGAUUAGAAACCCGAGUAGUCC